Molecule: long non-coding RNA, 490 nt
Organism: Humulus lupulus (European hop)
Lineage: Eukaryota; Viridiplantae; Streptophyta; Magnoliopsida; Rosales; Cannabaceae
Exons: 2
Source: RefSeq, a predicted model, not a curated record
UUUUGCAAAGAGUCUACUUGAUGUUGCAGAAAAUUUGGAACGAGCUUCUUCAGUUGUCAAAGAAAGUUUUUCAAAGAUUGACACAUCUAAGGAUUCAUCUGGGGCUGCUCCACUUUUAAAAACACUUCUAGAGGGUGUUGAAAUGACAUAAAAACAACUUGUAGAGUGUGGUGGGAAAAAUACAUAUACACUUGGCGAAAUUAAUGAAAUUCGAAAUGAAUAGGCAACCAAGCUUCUUGAGCAGACGAGUCAUAGCUAGAGUAACUUUUGAAAUCAGAAUUAAAAAAUAUAUUAAUUGUAGUUUUAGUUAGCACUUACAUAGUUAUUCCAAGUCUAUAUUUUGAUCUUGCAAUUUUUAGAUUUUGAACAUACUGAGUUAUAUUGAUUUUGUCUGCCUAUUGAUUCUAUUUGAACUAUGUUGUAAUUACACAGGAAAUUAUGAAUGAAUAUAGUAUUGAAAAUAGAGAAAUGAAAAAAUUAUCAUAUUCUA